Molecule: ribosomal RNA, 300 nt
Filed under: uncultured bacterium
Lineage: Bacteria
Description: bacterial SSU rRNA
Rfam family: Bacterial small subunit ribosomal RNA
Source: RNAcentral
GAACGAGAAAGCGGGGGCAACUCCGUGAGUAAAGUGGCGACCGGGUGAGUAACACGUGACUAACCUGCCCUUGAGUGGGGGAUAACCUCGGGAAACCGGGGCUAAUACCGCAUAAUUUCAUGAGGUGAAAAUCCUUAUGAUCAAAGGAGCAAUUCGCUGAAGGAGGGGGUCUCGGCUGAUUAGCUAGUUGGUGAGGUAACGGCCCACCAAGGCAAUGAUCAGUAGCCGGCCUGAGAGGGCGCACGGCCACACUGGGACUGAGACACGGCCCAGACUCCUACGGGAGGCAGCAGUGGGGAA